AUACGUAGGGGGCGAGCGUUGUCCGGAAUGAUUGGGAGUAAAGGGCGCGUAGGCGGCUUUGCAAGUCAGUAGUGGAAGUCCAUUUUUCAAGGAUGGAAGUGCUACAGAAACUGCGGAGCUUGAGUGCAGGAGAGGUUAUCGGAAUUCCCGGUGUAGCGGUGAAAUGCGUAGAGAUCGGGAGGAACACCAGUGGCGAAGGCGGGUAACUGGACUGCAACUGACGCUGAGGCGCGAAAGUGUGGGGAGCAAACAGGAUUAGAUUCCCUGGUAGUCCACACUGUAAACGAUGAAUGCUAGGUGUAGGAGGUAUCGACCCCUUCUGUGCCGCAGUAAACACAGUAAGCAUUCCGCCUGGGGAGUACGGUCGCAAGAUUAAAACUCAAAGGAAUUGACGGGG
This 397-nucleotide ribosomal RNA is filed under the name uncultured bacterium. Its description in RNAcentral is "partial 16S ribosomal RNA". It matches the Rfam family "Bacterial small subunit ribosomal RNA", at positions 523 to 918 of the family's 1533-position model. The record is from RNAcentral.